CUCACCAAGGCCACGAUGCAUAGCCGACCUGAGAGGGUGAUCGGCCACAUUGGGACUGAGACACGGCCCAAACUCCUACGGGAGGCAGCAGUAGGGAAUCUUCGGCAAUGGACGAAAGUCUGACCGAGCAACGCCGCGUGAGUGAAGAAGGUUUUCGGAUCGUAAAACUCUGUUGUUAGAGAAGAACAAGGAUGAGAGUAACUGUUCAUCCCUUGACGGUAUCUAACCAGAAAGCCACGGCUAACUACGUGCCAGCAGCCGCGGUAAUACGUAGGUGGCAAGCGUUGUCCGGAUUUAUUGGGCGUAAAGCGAGCGCAGGCGGUUUCUUAAGUCUGAUGUGAAAGCCCCCGGCUCAACCGGGGAGGGUCAUUGGAAACUGGGAGACUUGAGUGCAGAAGAGGAGAGUGGAAUUCCAUGUGUAGCGGUGAAAUGCGUAGAUAUAUGGAGGAACACCAGUGGCGAAGGCGGCUCUCUGGUCUGUAACUGACGCUGAGGCUCGAAAGCGUGGGGAGCAAACAGGAUUAGAUACCCUGGUAGUCCACGCCGUAAACGAUGAGUGCUAAGUGUUGGAGGGUUUCCGCCCUUCAGUGCUGCAGCUAACGCAUUAAGCACUCCGCCUGGGGAGUACGACCGCAAGGUUGAAACUCAAAGGAAUUGACGGGGGCCCGCACAAGCGGUGGAGCAUGUGGUUUAAUUCGAAGCAACGCGAAGAACCUUACCAGGUCUUGACAUCCUUUGACCACUCUAGAGAUAGAGCUUCCCCUUCGGGGGCAAAGUGACAGGUGGUGCAUGGUUGUCGUCAGCUCGUGUCGUGAGAUGUUGGGUUAAGUCCCGCAACGAGCGCAACCCUUAUUGUUAGUUGCCAUCAUUCAGUUGGGCACUCUAGCAAGACUGCCGGUGACAAACCGGAGGAAGGUGGGGAUGACGUCAAAUCAUCAUGCCCCUUAUGACCUGGGCUACACACGUGCUACAAUGGGAAGUACAACGAGUCGCGAAGUCGCGAGGCUAAGCUAAUCUCUUAAAGCUUCUCUCAGUUCGGAUUGCAGGCUGCAACUCGCCUGCAUGAAGCCGGAAUCGCUAGUAAUCGCGGAUCAGCACGCCGCGGUGAAUACGUUCCCGGGCCUUGUACACACCGCCCGUCACACCACGAGAGUUUGUAACACCCGAAGUCGGUGAGGUAACCUUUUGGAGCCAGCCGCCUAAGGUGGGAUAGAUGAUUGGGGUGAAGUCGUAACAAGGUAGCCGUAUCGGAAGGUGCGGCUGGAUCACCU
RNAcentral lists this ribosomal RNA (1271 nucleotides) under Enterococcus faecium EnGen0308. Its description in RNAcentral is "bacterial SSU rRNA". It matches the Rfam family "Bacterial small subunit ribosomal RNA", at positions 264 to 1528 of the family's 1533-position model. The record is from RNAcentral. Lineage: Bacteria; Bacillati; Bacillota; Bacilli; Lactobacillales; Enterococcaceae.